CGAGCCCGGGUCGGAGGGCGACGCGUCCCUGAGUGACUUGGGUGGGUGGGUGGGCGUGCGAGGAGGGACGGGCUCCCCAGCCGGCCGAGGUGAGAGGGAAGCUCUUAGCCGGCGCCUCCCUGUAGUGCCAAGGUCUCCGUGACGGCGGGCCGCGCAAGGCCCCGAAAGCCCGCUCUCCUAAACCCUCGGUGAGAGCCGAGCUGCCACAGAGCGUGUUCACAAAGGGUCACCACACACGGAGCUGCCCCUCCCCGUCUCCCUAAACCCCAUCUGCGAGGCCAGGGGCUUUUCCACCAGGAUUCUGGGUGUUCCUCCUCCUUCCCUCCCUCCCAGAUCUUCUAACGGAUAAAGAACUGAAAAUGCUUGGAAGACAGCUUAAGGAUCUGGGAACUGUCUCUGCAAAGACCAUCAGAACCAUCUUUUCACUGAAAUAAAAUGACCCAGAGGAGAGAAGACUGGCAUGAAAAAAAAGGUGAAAUGUUUGUUUGUUUUUCCUCCUGAGACAAACUUUUGGAAUCAGAUCCCUCAGCCGCGCGCCUCUGCCGAAGUACGGAUCUGACUGUUCCAGCACCUUCGUUUUCUUCCCACGAUGAUGUUUGGGCACUGGGACACGUCACCCUCACCCAGAACGACAAGGUUCAAGCUUGCUCCCUCACACCGAGCAUCUCCCAGCUCUUCCUGGCAGACGGGCAUCCCGCAGGCCCAGGUUCUCUGGUCCUAGCCCUUUUCUCUGCUGGGAAGGAGGAACCAUGCGGCCCCUUGGAGCAGGGGGCGGCCUCCAGCACAGGAGAGCGGCCUUGACGGUCUCGUCCAACAGGUUCCCCUACUUUAUUUUCUCUUGCUUCUGCAGUGCCAAGAGGGGAGGACCGGAAUACUUGAGAUAUUUCCCCCUCCCAGUCUUCCUGGGGACUAAGCAUUCUGACCACCAGAUUCCCGGCAGACGCAGCAAUGGAGUUUCUGGGAUGAACAGCCCUCCCAGCCUCCAUACCACUUCCACAGGCAGCUGUCUCCCUUCCCCACCCGGCAGGUGCUGCUAGAAUUCCAUCGACCUCAACAUUCCUAGAGUGGCUGGAAUUGGUCGGGACGUCCAACCUCGAAGGGAAGGCAGCAAAGCGAACCAGCCUGGGCACUGCCCCUUGGACGACGCGCACCGUUCGAGUUCAGGGACUCGGCACUCUGAGUAAGAAACUCAAAUCAGUUUAGCGCAGCACACCCCCCGGGCCGGCCUCCUGCCUCUGACAGCGGCACAAAGGGCUAUUCUGUGAGAAAACGUUGCUGCUCUUUGCCAUGUCAGCCUCAGGCUUGGAGGGUGACUCCACACGACAUGCUGAUUUUCCUUAACAGUGUGUUGUUUAUCUGGCCUUGUCUCCAGUGUCUCUCUUUUGGGCCUCAGUCAUCUGUUGCAGUGUUUUUGUAUUAAGUAAUCUAAAGGAAAGAGUAUUAGUUAGGCUAGAGGUCAGGAGUCAGGGGUUCAAUCUGUAGCUCUGUCUUAAGGUGAUAUAUGACCUUGGGUAUUUACCUUCUCCAGGCCUUCAUGUAAAACACUGGGGGCUGGAUUUGAUUACAGCUAUGUUCUAAAACUCCAUGAGUGUUCUUUUUUUUUUCUUUUUUUUUUUUUGGAGGGGGGAGGUAAUUAAGUUUAUUUAUUAGGUUGAUUUAUUUACUUAUUUAAGUUUUUUUUAAUGGAGGUACUGGGAAUUGAACCCAGGACCUCGUGCAUGCUAAGCACACACUCUACCACUAAGCUAUACCCUCCCUACCAUAAGUAUUCUUUAAACUACAUUUAAGUAUUACAAAUAGAUAAUAGUAUUUAAAGUAGUAUUUUCUUACUAUUGUAAGAUAGUACUUUCCCCACAGUUGUUCUUACGUUAUUCUGGUCAAAUUUUAAGGACUACUGCUGUUUUCUAGUCUUGUACGUUUAUCUUAUCUGUGCUUUUCACGACUGAAUUAACUUCAUCACACUCCCCCUUUACUUCGGCUUUACUGACUGCAGAUCUACUGUCUUUUUUCCCCCUUUCUUUAUAAAUCUACUUUGAUAAACUUACCAAGAAAGUCUCAAAAUGUUCUUGGUUAUUUUUGUUACCCAUAUCUGGAGAGACUUCAGCCCUAAAGAAAGUAGUCUGUACUCGAGGCAGGAUAAGGGUGCUGUCUGCUUACCCCACAGUCAGGUGGCUCUGUGACAGCAGCAGUGCACUGCGUUUGUGUCUUUUGGGGCUGCCCACGAUGUCUCCUCAGAUGCCUUUCCUGUGUUAUAAAUAGGACUUCAGAAUCCAUCAUCUUAUAAAUACAUUUGAAACCUUCUCCCCCCAGUAUUUUACUCUCCACAGGAGUACGUAUCUCCGGCUUUCUGCACAUUCACGGAGCUUUGAGAGCUCUUUUGGCCCUUUAUCCCCUUGGAUCUUCAUUAUCUGGAAGAAGAGUCAUCCACAGAAUUGAAGGUUGUACUGUGUGUUUCCACUUCCAUUUCUUUACAUGCUGAAAACAAACAAACAAACAAACAAACGCUCAUACUCAUCCUGACCCCUGGGAGGGAGUGGCACUUGGUGGCAGAUGGUGAGUGAGGAUCAAGGUGCAGAUCCUUCCUGAAGGAUGGGAAAACUUAGCAUUUUGUGUGUGUGUGAUUCAAAUUUGUAUAAAUUAUAUUCCAUUUAUAGUUAUCAUAAAAUAUUGGCUACUUUCCCUAUGGUGUACAAUACAUCCGUAUAGCUUAUUUAUUUUAUACGUAAUAGUUUGUACCAUUAGCAUUUUGUUUGAACGUGAAUUUUAGUAGCAGGUUAUACAGUAGUUGGUAGCAGAGUCGUGGUUGGACUCACAUCACGUCAUGGCUUUCCCCACUUUAUCCCAUUUAUGCAUUUACUCAUGAAUUGAGUGGCUCCCACAAGCCGGGCACUAAGCUUGAUGCCAAGAAAAAUGGUGAGUAAAGCUCACCCUGCCCUGGAGGGAUUUGCAGACUAGAAGGCUACAUGUUUAGGCAACUGCAGACCUGGAUGAGAAUGCCAGGAGAGGAGUGGGCUGGGAGCUGGGCAGUCAGGGAGGCUUCUUGGAGUGAAGGUGUGUGUGUUAAAAGACCAGCAGCAGUUGGAGGUGGAGGAUUAUCCUGACUGAAGGAACAGCAAGUGCCUGAGGACGCAUGUACCUCCUAGAACACCCAGUGGCUCAAGACCUUGGAGCUCAGGCUGGAGCAAUCAGCAGAUGCUGACCACAGACAGCCUGGGAUGCUCUGCUAAAAUGUUUGAACGUUCUCUUGAAGGCAAUGGGAGGUCAUAGAGGGAUUUUUAAAGUAGAGGAAUAUCAUGAUCAUAUUAUUGUACUUACUUUAGAAAAAUCGCUUGGAGUUUUCUAAGGCGAAGGCCAGAGACAUUCGGUACUAGAAACUGCUGGAAUAAACCAAGCAGGAGAGUGUGGCUUCAGUUAAGAUGGUGGCCUUCGAAAGGAGGGAAGUGGGGCGGUCAGAGACAUAAAGGGAAGAGGUAGAGACCACAGGACUCUUACGAUUUAUGGAUUGUCAAGAGUUAGGGAAAGGGAGGACCCAAGAUGAAAUUUGGGUUUCUGGGUCGGGCUUCUGAGCUUGAAAGGACCAAGAGAAGGUUUUAGUGUUGAGUGCAAAGGGGAAUGAAGUCCUGAUUCUCAUGGCCACCUUGACGCAGCAGCCAGGGUCCAAGUCAUGAGGACUCAGAAUGGAGAGGGACUAUUCUAAGAAUGAAGUGGGUUUUCUUUGCCUCCUUGGCCCACUUCCCUUUAGGUCAAGUGUGCUGGGGCUACGCCUUGGUGAGAUUUUCUGACCUGUCGUCCAUUCCAUUGGGAUUUCUGCUCAAUAAUUGGUAAAGAACAUUGAUUUUCUCAUUUCCCACGUAGAGCCUAGAAGGAGGCAGUACUGCACAAUUGUGGCUACAGCUGUCAUUUUGCUACCUUUGGAAUGUAUGUUUCUGAGACUGUUGGCUCUGAGUGCCAGAGCAGAGAAUAUAAGGAGACAUCCAUGCAGGCGUCACGUAAAGGGGUUGGGCUUUGGGGCCAGAGAGACUAACUGGGUAAGCCUAGGCGACCUUAAUUUCCUCCUCUGUAAAAUGGGGAAAUUAGCACCCACUCCAGGAACUUGCUGCGAGAAUUACAAUGAGGUAAAGCAUUUAUGGUGCCUAGCAGAUGAAAACGCCCAAUAAAUAUUAGUUUCUGCCCCCCACCCUCAUCCACAGACACUUAUACUCACACCUUCUCACGCUGAGGAAACUCCAUGCUGCCCUGCCCUUUACUACCUUGGGUGUUUUGUUUUGUUUUUUUUAAUUUCUUAGACAACAGAGAGAAAAGAAGAAAAAAGGAGAGAAGCGGGAAGGGGGAGGGAUCCAAAUUAAACGUAGGAACUUCACUGAGCUGGGUGCUGUUGUUUAAACAAAAAGGCCUGGUACCUUGGGAGGUGAGGCCUCUUCCCAACCGGUACAGCUUCUGCUGGCGGAUGGCCUCCUGUGCUUCGGACCUCUGAGGAAGAUGCAGCAAAGGUGUCGAACCCCACCCAGGGGCGGAAGGUAUUUAUCAAGUCUGCCAGGAUUUCUCUCCCAGGCCUUGGGGAUUUGCAGGCAUCUCCUUUGCAUUUCCUGGAGGCCUGGAAUGCCGGCUUUUGUCUUGGAUCUCCCUGGCAGAGCAAGGCACUCUCCUUUCCUAUCUGCAGUCUUUCUCUGGGCAGGACGUCCCCAGGCUUGGCACCAGCCUCCCUGGGUGUGCUGGGAGCUGUGGCCGGAGGUCCUGGGUGCCAGGCGUCUCUCCUGGCCUGGUCCUCAGUCCCGUCCCAUCAGCCGCCAGCACUGACGCUUGUCACUUAAGGUUAUCCUGGAUGGAAAACGGGGCUGAUUUACUCCAGCUCAAACGCAAUGUUUCGCACACUACAGGGCUCAUUGGUGGGUUCCAAAGUACAUCUAGGAUUUUAAGGGGAAAAAAAAUCAGACUCCAUCACCAUAAUGGUAGGUAUUGUUUCAUGAAACUUUUUCAAAUUUUAAAUAUGCAAAAUAUACUGGUCCUAUUCAAAAACCUUAAAAGCCAAGGCCGUGAACUCGCGGCAGUUUCCUGUGAGGAUAUGAGGUAUACUUAGGUGGGAAAAUGUCAUCAUUUAAAAAUUUCUUAGCUAGGCUAAUAACUGGAAGGUCAUGUGGCUUAGUGGAGAAAACUUCAGCUUUGGAGUUAGAACUGGGUCAGUUUUUUUACUCUCUCACUAACUGUGUGACCUUGGACAACUUAAGGGAUCUCUCUGAGCCACCUGAGAAUUAUUUGUAAAAGAGAGAUAAGCAUCGUGGCCUGUAGGACCACUGUGAGGAUUAAACAAAAUCAUCUCUGUAUAGUGCUCAGUACAUAGGAGAUGCAUGAUAAAUAAAGCUAAUUUUCUAGUCUUUUUUUAAAAUUAAUCACUUUAUUUUUUAAUGGAGGU
Molecule: non-coding RNA, 5410 nt
Organism: Vicugna pacos (alpaca)
Lineage: Eukaryota; Metazoa; Chordata; Mammalia; Artiodactyla; Camelidae
Source: RefSeq, a predicted model, not a curated record